AGGAAGCUGACCUGCGAUCGACAGAAGGUCACUAUGUCUCAUCUGAAACAAUACCGGAGGUAAACUUAGGAAGUGAUGAUCCUUCGUCUCAAGGACACACAGAUCAAAGUAGCGUAAACAAACCGGCGGAGAGCAUAAAAAAAGUCCUUUAAUGUUUUAUUCAAGAAAAAAAAGGCAGGAA
Molecule: non-coding RNA, 181 nt
Organism: Arachis ipaensis
Lineage: Eukaryota; Viridiplantae; Streptophyta; Magnoliopsida; Fabales; Fabaceae
Source: RefSeq, a predicted model, not a curated record